ACGGGAGGCAGCAGUGAGGAAUAUUGGUCAAUGGUCGAGAGACUGAACCAGCCAAGUCGCGUGAAGGAUGCAGGUAUUAUGUAUUGUAAACUUCUUUUAUGCGGGGAUAAAGUGUGUCUUGCGAGGCAUAUUGCAGGUACCGCAAGAAAAAGCAUCGGCUAACUCCGUGCCAGCAGCCGCGGUAAUACGGGGGAUGCGAGCGUUAUUCGGAAUUAUUGGGUUUAAAGGGUGCGUAGGCGGUGGAGCAAGUCAGCGGUGAAAUCUUGUGGCUCAACCAUAAGCUUGCCGUUGAAACUGUUUUACUUGAGUGCGAGAGAGGUAGGCGGAAUUUGUUGUGUAGCGGUGAAAUGCAUAGAUAUGACAAAGAACUCCAAUUGCGAAGGCAGCUUACUUGGGUGCAACUGACGCUGAGGCACGAAGGUGUGGGUAUCGAACAGGAUUAGAUACCCUGGUA
RNAcentral lists this ribosomal RNA (454 nucleotides) under uncultured Paludibacter sp. RNAcentral describes it as "partial 16S ribosomal RNA". It matches the Rfam family "Bacterial small subunit ribosomal RNA", at positions 341 to 792 of the family's 1533-position model. The record is from RNAcentral. Lineage: Bacteria; Pseudomonadati; Bacteroidota; Bacteroidia; Bacteroidales; Paludibacteraceae.